Molecule: long non-coding RNA, 1822 nt
Filed under: Oryza sativa Indica Group (long-grained rice)
Lineage: Eukaryota; Viridiplantae; Streptophyta; Magnoliopsida; Poales; Poaceae
Description: lncRNA OsMH63_08G020360
Source: RNAcentral
AUGAAGCAAGAGGAGGAUGAGCUAGCCGUGGAUCCCGGUGUCGGUGCUGUGUGCGAUCCUGUGACGAAGCUGCGGUUCGAAGCGAUCGUCUGCCUCCUGGAUAGGAUUCCGAUCACGCUGCAGCAGAUCGACAUGUUUGGCCAGGACGUGGCGUUCCGCACGAAGAGAAUUGGCAACAUAGAGGCGUUGCUCGACUUCCUCAAAGGAAGCGCGGCCGCGACAUGGGGAGCGCGCGCCGGCGCCGGCGAGCCGAUCGAUGCGUCGUCGCCGGAGCUUCACCGUCUGGUGGAGGAUGCAGAGACAGCUUACCGCGACGUCCGCGGCCUCCAACCCAGAAUGGUCGUGCAAAUGCCCCGCGUGUUCCACAAGGUGUGUCUCCCGAAGCUGCACCAGCUGCUGGUCAUCGCGCGCCGCCUCCUCGCCCAGAACGUGGCGCUCCGCCGACUUCUCCUUCAGCCAGUGGGCUGUGACGUCUCUCCCAUGGCGUUGGCCGAGGCCGCUGUAAGUUCGGACGACUUCGAGCGGCACGGCCGCAACAAGGUCGUCAUAGACGAGUUCGGCUACGAGGACCUGCUGCGCCGCCGCCACACCGGCCACGAGUCGCAGAACGAUGCGGACGACGCAGAGCAGCACGGCCGCGAGGUCAGAGAAGGCGAGUACGAGGACCUGAUCCUGAUGCGCCACCGCGACACCAGCCACGAGUUGUUGCAGGAUGAUGCGCGCCGGCGCCGCGCGGAUGCAGAGGCAGAGCAGCAAGGCGGCGACGGCGAGGUCAGAGAUGAGUACGAGGACUACCUGUGUCGCCAGCUCGGCGCCGUCUACAGCGGGCCCGAUCAAAUCUACGAGCACGACAUGCGAGGUCCGGAACCAGCACACUCGCCAAACACGCCCGACCAGAUCUACGUCCCCUGCGAAAGGAUGCUUCCCUACCCAAGCAACUGCGACAACGCCGAGGACCGGAUUCAUAUGGCAUGUCUUGCUCUCAAGAACCUGGUAAAAGACAUGGAAGGAAUCUACUCUCCUCGAGGAACCUUGUGGCAGUAUCUGGAGGACGUCAUCUCUCUUGCGCAUGCUCUGUUUCUGGAGAACACCAAGCUCCACCGGUUCACUGAUCAGGCUUCGCACCAGGACUUGCCGUUGCAGCCGCCGCAGGGCUUCCCAUUUCAACAGCAGCCGCAGCACGAUGGCUACCAGCAGCCGGGCGUCCCGUUCCAGCAACCGCAGCAAGGUGGCUACUACGGCCACGGCCAGGGCAUCAUGUUUCAGCGAGGUGGCUACCUCCAGGAUGUCCCGUUCCAGCACUGGCAGUGGCAGCAGGGUGGUUACGGACAAGGCUUCAUGUUUCCGCAGGCUCAGCAUCAAGGUGGCUACGGCCAAGGUUUCCUGUCCGAGCAGCCGCUGCCCGGUGACCCCAGCUUCAUGAACAUGCAGGCUCCUUACGACGGCGACGGGGGAGUCCUGUUCCAGAAGCCGCAGCACUAUCACCAUGGGCAUGUUCCGAGCGAGAAGGGCGCUAUUCAGGCCAAGGGGAAGCAGAAGAUGCGGGAACCAAAAACUGUCAUGUGCCCGGACUGGUGCAGAACCGGACAUUGUUCCUCUGGUGACGGGUGCGAAUAUGCUCACAGUCAAGACGAACUGCGGGUAAUCGACGCCCGCCCCAAGUACAGAACAGAGCCGUGCCGUUACUGGCUAGCUGGGAAAGGGUGCUGGUAUGGGGACAAAUGCCGGUACAAGCAGCACCGAUUAGCUCGGGAGCCACUGUAUGUCGAUCCAUUCUUGACAGGUACUACAUAUGAUAGAUUUGCUGAUUAAUUGUCAUGUU